RNAcentral lists this long non-coding RNA (1204 nucleotides) under Monodelphis domestica (gray short-tailed opossum). RNAcentral describes it as "lncRNA (ENSMODG00000044933.1)". The record is from RNAcentral. Lineage: Eukaryota; Metazoa; Chordata; Mammalia; Didelphimorphia; Didelphidae.
AUGCUCUCGUGGUGGGGCUCCAUGUUGCUUUGGCCUGGAUGCUGCUGCCAUCUUGUGGAUGUCGCUUCUGAGGCGAAGGUUUCUUCUCUCUCCAAGGAAAGGUUAUCGUUCUUUCUCUUGCCCCAGUUAACAUUGCUCGCGUUAAUCCACAUGUUUAAAGCUCUUUCCUUAAACGCGGAGCCCCACCUAGGAGGCCCAGAAAUGGGGCCCCCCGGGUCAUCGGGGACAUUUCCCAUGCACUCCCACGGCCCACCAGGCUCCUUAAUAAGGGGAUGCCAUCAGAGGAAGGCAGUGCCUCCCCCCAACCCCCUCUCCACCGCAGAGCAGAUGAGAAAACUGAGUCAGAGUGACUAGUCAUUAAGUGACUAGCCUGGGUCACCCAACUAACAGUCCUUUGGUGUUCAGUUUGCGGAGCCCUUUUCGAGGCUGCUCAUUCCACCUAUGACACCUCUCCUCGUGGCUUCAAGAAGCUGUAGCGUGUGUGGCGGCCACACUCCAGUAAAACCAUCUCAGCAGACAGGUCAGCUCAGGCUGAGGGGGUUCAAACCUUCGGUGAGUUAGGGGGAAUGUCCGCGUUAAACAUGUGAAGACUUCUUCCAGAAGAAUGAGUAGAUGAGAACAAGAACCAUUGUUCCAGCGGCCACGAGGGUGGCUGAAGCUGGCACUGUGGGGUGCUUAGAGCUUGGUCAGCCAUGGGAGAUGCCAAGGUCAUCCACUGCAUCCCGGGCCAUCACUACUCGUCCUGACUGUUGUUUUUAAUGAUGCUGGAAGAAUGGUGCUGACAACUUUAUGUGACUCUUCCUCACCUAACUCCAGUGCAUGAGCAAGUCAAGAUAUCACCUUGUGACAUCAUUGGUCCUCUUUGAAAUGAAGGAUGAACAACAACUUCUGGAUAGUGUCAGCAGUUCCUGAUUUACUCCCUUCCAGGGGCCCUUCCAUCUCCAACAAAGUCCAAAGACUAAUUUCAUUAAAAUGUAGCUUGAUAUGUUGAAAAUAUCGCUAUAUAUUUUGUUUUUAAUUUAUGAAUGUAUCUCUCCUUUACCCUAGGUCAAGAGCAUGAGGAGUGAGCUCCUUUUAGUUCAUAAGUCUGUAUUCAUGGUGUGAAGUAAGCUUACUCCUUGGGCCAGUAUAGACUUUGCCUUCUAGGAACUUUCUAUCUAGUUGAGGCAAUAAAAGACCUGUGUAGACCCUGCCCUCUAGGAAU